Oncorhynchus nerka (sockeye salmon) is the source of this 519-nucleotide long non-coding RNA. RefSeq lists it as uncharacterized. The record is from RefSeq and is a predicted model, not a curated record. The transcript is spliced from 2 exons. Lineage: Eukaryota; Metazoa; Chordata; Actinopteri; Salmoniformes; Salmonidae.
ACUCACCUCUGUCUACCUCCACAGGCACUUUAAUCAGUCACUGUGAUGUGAAGAACACCACCACCUACCUAGAGGUGAAUAACUGCAGGUCCUCUGUGCCGGUGGAAAUCUCAGCCUGCGGGGGAUCCUGUGGAACAUCUUCUAUAUACUCUGUAGAGAAAAACACCCUGAUGCACUCCUGCUCCUGCUGUCGAGAGAUGUCUACCAGUGAGAGGAAGGUGGAGAUGGUCUGCCCUGAUGGGAAGAAGAUCAUGCAGUCCUACAUUUACAUUGAUAAGUGUGGCUGCCAUGACUCUGAGUGUGACAAGAAGAACCACUUAGAUUAGGCCUUGACGAAUUAAGUCUUUUAAAAUGUUCUUAUUUACCUUAACUGCAUGGAAUAUGAAAUAGUUUUAUCUAAAGGGAACCAAUAGGGUCUGUCUCAUUAUCAUAUAGGCUACUUUCACGAACAGCAUGUCCUUUCUCUCUACACUAUCAUAGACAUUAUGCAAACCUAUUAAACUGAUGAAGAAGCAUGAA